GACGAACGCUGGCGGCGUGCUUAACACAUGCAAGUCGAACGGGAAGGCCCUGCUGUUAUGGGGAGCCCGAGUAGCAAAACGGUGGAUAACACGUGAGUGACCUGCACUUGACUUGGAGAUAACUUCAAGAAACUGGGACUCAUAUCGGAUGGGAGCUCCAGCUGCAUGGGGGGGGUUGGAAAGUUUCGACGGUUGGGGAGGGGCACGCGGCUUAUCAGCUUGCUGGUGGGGUAGUGGCUUACCAGGGCUUUGACGGGUAGGCGGCCUGAGAGGGUGGCCGGCCCAGUUGGGACGGAGAUACGGCCCAGACUCCUACGGGAGGCAGCAGUGGAGAAUAUUGUACAAGGGGCUGAAGCCUGAUGCAGCAACGCCGCGUCCGGGAUGAGGGCCUUCGGUUUGUAAUCUGCUGUCGUCUUUGACGAAGCGUGAGUGACGGUAAUGGGUAAAGAAGCACCGGCUAACUACGUG
This 468-nucleotide ribosomal RNA is filed under the name uncultured bacterium. RNAcentral describes it as "partial 16S ribosomal RNA". It matches the Rfam family "Bacterial small subunit ribosomal RNA", at positions 28 to 507 of the family's 1533-position model. The record is from RNAcentral.